GAUGAACGCUGGCGGCGUGCCUAAUACAUGCAAGUAGAACGCUGAAGGAGGAGCUUGCUCUUCUGGAUGAGUUGCGAACGGGUGAGUAACGCGUAGGUAACCUGCCUGGUAGCGGGGGAUAACUAUUGGAAACGAUAGCUAAUACCGCAUGACAACAGUUAUUGCAUGAUAACUGUUAAAAAGGGGCAACUGCUCCACUACCAGAUGGACCUGCGUUGUAUUAGCUAGUUGGUGAGGUAACGGCUCACCAAGGCGACGAUACAUAGCCGACCUGAGAGGGUGAUCGGCCACACUGGGACUGAGACACGGCCCAGACUCCUACGGGAGGCAGCAGUAGGGAAUCUUCGGCAAUGGACGGAAGUCUGACCGAGCAACGCCGCGUGAGUGAAGAAGGUUUUCGGAUCGUAAAGCUCUGUUGUAAGAGAAGAACGAGUGUGAGAGUGGAAAGUUCACACUGUGACGGUAUCUUACCAGAAAGGGACGGCUAACUACGUG
This 495-nucleotide ribosomal RNA is filed under the name uncultured bacterium. Its description in RNAcentral is "partial 16S ribosomal RNA". It matches the Rfam family "Bacterial small subunit ribosomal RNA", at positions 28 to 507 of the family's 1533-position model. The record is from RNAcentral.